GUUUCUACCUGCAGGGAAGCUGGAGGCUGUGACAGAAGUAGGGAGGGAGCAGUGAGCUGCUUUUGCUGAGCACUUGCAUUUCAUACGUUUGCAGUGUAGUGCUGUAGCUGUUUCCUGACCUGGGAUCAGACGCAGAUGAUCGCAGGAGGAAUAAAUCUUCAUCGUGCUGUGCUUGGCCCAAGAAACCUAGGCUGGGGUCCAGAGGAGUGGAGAUGCAGCUGGUGCAAUGUGUGGAUUUUGGAGAAAUAGCCUUGUCCUGCCACCCUGUUCCUGUUAUCUGCUCAGACAGGGGGAUUUAUGUACCAUGUGAUCUCCCUUUGUAUUUGGUGGUUUCCAUUACCCAAUUCAGGCUGAGAUUUCCUACCCAGAUGCGCAUCUGUCAUCCCCCAUCCUUUGGCCAACACAAGACUUGACAAAUCUACAAGGUCUGCAACUCAUCUGGAGAGUGUAAGCAAGGACUGCCAUACACAGUCCUUGCAACAGACUUUUAUUGCAAGGAUGGAUGGAUGCGGUUGUGAAUAAAGAGGCAAGGCUGAGAAGAAGGUGAUGUGACCUUUCUUUUGCAGUAAAUUAACAAACAUUGUAAAAUUAUAAACAUACACCCUUUUUUGUUUUAUGCCAUUUCAGUAUGAAAAGGCAUCAACACUUUAAGCAGAUCCUUCAAGGACAGGGUGUACUGUUCUCUAAGUGCAAAUGACAUAUGGUUGAGCCUGCUUGUGUUAAUUUGAGAUAAAAAGAGAGGAAAAAAAAGUUACAUCUUUUGAAAGAGCCUCCCAUAAGGGCAAUACUAGCUGCCUUUACAAGGUGUGACGUGAAAGUCUGGCUUAGCUCAAUCAGCAGCACGCAUGGUCCCACUGAAACAGCAAAGGUUUCUGCAUCAAGAAGCACAGAAGUAAAAGUAUAAAGGAGGUGAAAUAAUAGCAGCAGCAACAGCAGAAUCAAUUGUUAUUUCAUCAAGCAACAGAAAUCAGACCACUUGAUCAUGUUGGUUGCUCUGGUUUUUAAACUCAGGUCUUUCCAUCAGGAGAUUGCUCAGUUGAAAGCUCCAUAUAGUGAGAAUAUAUGCUUUCUUUUUCCACAAGAAUUGGAAAUAAUAUGAGCUAAGACUGACAACCCCAGCAUCUGGGAGUGCUUAAAGCAAUUCAUAGUUUUGCUCCAGUCACGUGACUCUGGCCAAAGACUGCAGAAAAGCCAAAUUGGUCUGGAGGAAGCCUUGGUGUUGGGUAAAAUGCAAUAAAUUGAGCAAGGGUACUUUGAUUUAUUUAUCCUAGAUCAUUGUAAAUGAAUGACAUUCUUUCUCCUAUUGCAAAUACUUAUUUGCUAUUUAUUGUAUACCCAACAUUCAUGACUAUGUUAAUUGAGUUGUAUCUUUUUUUACCUUAAUUUUAUGAACAUUAUUGCUCUGCUUUAGAGGUCCUGAUUAGUUGAUUUAUACGGUCUCUCUUUUCCACAGGCAUUUUCAUAGUCAUUGUCUUCCAGAUGUAUUUUGUAUAGGUUUAAAGGAAAUGUUUACUGCAUUCCAGAAAUACUGUUGCCAAAGUCUCUAAUUUAGGCGGGUGGGAAUAACUUAUGAUAGGCAGAUCUACGUGCUACUUUGCGUAUUUCACUUUUAACCAUGUGAAAUUGUAAGAGUAACAAGAAUGAAUUAUUCAAAUGAGAGAAAUUCUUAAUUAAAACAUUAAAAAGUUCCAUAUUUCCGACA
Anas platyrhynchos (mallard) is the source of this 1702-nucleotide long non-coding RNA. RefSeq lists it as uncharacterized. The record is from RefSeq and is a predicted model, not a curated record. NCBI's taxonomy places the organism in Eukaryota, Metazoa, Chordata, Aves, Anseriformes, Anatidae.